RNAcentral lists this long non-coding RNA (392 nucleotides) under Rattus norvegicus (Norway rat). Its description in RNAcentral is "long non-coding RNA NONRATT021351". The record is from RNAcentral. Lineage: Eukaryota; Metazoa; Chordata; Mammalia; Rodentia; Muridae.
GGUGGGGGAGCCUACAAAAACAAGCUGGGGAUAAAUAGCUGCUGCUGCUGACGAAAGUAGGCCGCUUCUCUCAGUGCUAUUCCAUGAGAAGGUCACAGGCUUGUCCUCACAGAGCCAGGGAUAGUGAUCACUAGAGAAGAGAGGCGAGGAACACUGAAAUGCCCAGACUUUGGGAUUCCCAAAUGAGAUCAAGGACCAGCAGAAUCUGUUUAUCUGGCUUGCAGUCCUCCUCCAUGGGCAGGCUGUGCCUGCACACCAUCCUGCACUUCUACAGUACUUUCCCCCAAGCAGCCUUUCCUCCCUAUAAUCUUCCACUUAUGGGCAUUUUCAUACUCAGAACAGGAAGUAGUCAGUUUUUUGGGAAAGGCCAUUUACCUGUGGAGUAAGAGGAC